GACGAACGCUGGCGGCGUGCCUAAUACAUGCAAGUAGAACGCUGAAGGAGGAGCUUGCUUCUCUGGAUGAGUUGCGAACGGGUGAGUAACGCGUAGGUAACCUGCCUGGUAGCGGGGGAUAACUAUUGGAAACGAUAGCUAAUACCGCAUAAUAGUAGAUGUCGCAUGACAUUUGCUUAAAAGGUGCAAUUGCAUCACUACCAGAUGGACCUGCGUUGUAUUAGCUAGUUGGUGAGGUAACGGCUCACCAAGGCAACGAUACAUAGCCGACCUGAGUGGGUGAUCGGCCACACUGGGACUGAGACACGGCCCAGACUCCUACGGGAGGCAGCAGUAGGGAAUCUUCGGCAAUGGACGGAAGUCUGACCGAGCAACGCCGCGUGAGUGAAGAAGGUUUUCGGAUCGUAAAGCUCGGUUGUAAGAGAAGAACGAGUGUGAGAGUGGAAAGUUCACACUGUGACGGUAUCUUACCAGAAAGGGACGGCUAACUACGUG
Molecule: ribosomal RNA, 495 nt
Filed under: uncultured bacterium
Lineage: Bacteria
Description: partial 16S ribosomal RNA
Rfam family: Bacterial small subunit ribosomal RNA
Source: RNAcentral